GCUGAAACAGGUCUUUGAUGGCCGAGAGGUUAAGGUGUUGGACUAGAAAUCCAAUGGGAUCUUCCCGCGCAGGUUCAAAUCCUGCUCACAGCG
Non-coding RNA from Nerophis ophidion (straightnose pipefish), 93 nucleotides. NCBI's taxonomy places the organism in Eukaryota, Metazoa, Chordata, Actinopteri, Syngnathiformes, Syngnathidae. The record is from the annotation of a RefSeq genome assembly.